UCCCGUGUGGCUCAGUUGGUAGAGUUUGGAGCUUGCAACGCCAGGGUUGUGGGUUCGAUUCCCACAGGGGAC
Molecule: transfer RNA, 72 nt
Filed under: Salmo salar (Atlantic salmon)
Lineage: Eukaryota; Metazoa; Chordata; Actinopteri; Salmoniformes; Salmonidae
Rfam family: tRNA
About the family: Transfer RNA (tRNA) molecules are approximately 80 nucleotides in length. Their secondary structure includes four short double-helical elements and three loops (D, anti-codon, and T loops). Further hydrogen bonds mediate the characteristic L-shaped molecular structure. tRNAs have two regions of fundamental functional importance: the anti-codon, which is responsible for specific mRNA codon recognition, and the 3' end, to which the tRNAs corresponding amino acid is attached (by aminoacyl-tRNA synthetases). tRNAs cope with the degeneracy of the genetic code in two manners: having more than one tRNA (with a specific anti-codon) for a particular amino acid; and 'wobble' base-pairing, i.e. permitting non-standard base-pairing at the 3rd anti-codon position.
Source: Rfam by way of RNAcentral